This 253-nucleotide ribosomal RNA is filed under the name uncultured bacterium. RNAcentral describes it as "partial 16S ribosomal RNA". It matches the Rfam family "Bacterial small subunit ribosomal RNA", at positions 524 to 776 of the family's 1533-position model. The record is from RNAcentral.
UACGUAGGGCGCAAGCGUUGUCCGGAAUUAUUGGGCGUAAAGAGCUCGUAGGCGGUUUGUCGCGUCUGCUGUGAAAACUCGAGGCUCAACCUCGGGCUUGCAGUGGGUACGGGCAGACUAGAGUGCGGUAGGGGAGACUGGAAUUCCUGGUGUAGCGGUGGAAUGCGUAGAUAUCAGGAGGAACACCGAUGGCGAAGGCAGGUCUCUGGGCCGACACUGACACUGAGAGACGAAAGCUAGGGGAGCAAAUGGG